GAUGAACGCUGGCGGCGUGCCUAAUACAUGCAAGUCGAGCGAACAGACGAGGAGCUUGCUCCUUCGACGUUAGCGGCGGACGGGUGAGUAACACGUAGGUAACCUACCUAUAAGACUGGGAUAACUUCGGGAAACCGGAGCUAAUACCGGAUAAUAUUUCGAACCGCAUGGUUCGAUAGUGAAAGAUGGCUUUGCUAUCACUUAUAGAUGGACCUGCGCCGUAUUAGCUAGUUGGUAAGGUAACGGCUUACCAAGGCAACGAUACGUAGCCGACCUGAGAGGGUGAUCGGCCACACUGGAGCUGGGACACGGUCCAGAGUCCUACGGGAGGGAGCAGUAGGGAAUCGUCGGCAAUAGGCGGAAGCCUGACGGAGCAACGCCGCGUGAGUGAUGGCGGUCUUCGGAUCGUAAUACUGUGUUAUUAGGGAUGAACAACCGUGUAAGGAGCUGUGCACGUCUUGACGGUACCUAAUCAGAAAGCCACGGCUAACUACGUG
This 497-nucleotide ribosomal RNA is filed under the name uncultured bacterium. Its description in RNAcentral is "partial 16S ribosomal RNA". It matches the Rfam family "Bacterial small subunit ribosomal RNA", at positions 28 to 507 of the family's 1533-position model. The record is from RNAcentral.